RNAcentral lists this ribosomal RNA (439 nucleotides) under uncultured bacterium. RNAcentral's name for it is "partial 16S ribosomal RNA". It matches the Rfam family "Bacterial small subunit ribosomal RNA", at positions 339 to 795 of the family's 1533-position model. The record is from RNAcentral.
CUACGGGUUGCUCCAGUGGGGAAUAUUGGACAAUGGGCGCAAGCCUGAUCCAGCCAUGCCGCGUGAGUGAUGAAGGCCUUAGGGUUGUAAAGCUCUUUUGUCCGGGACGAUAAUGACGGUACCGGAAGAAUAAGCCCCGGCUAACUUCGCGCCAGCAGCCGCGGUAAUACGAAGGGGGCUAGCGUUGCUCGGAAUCACUGGGCGUAAAGGGCGCGUAGGCGGCCGAUUAAGUCGGGGGUGAAAGCCUGUGGCUCAACCACAGAAUUGCCUUCGAUACUGGUUGGCUUGAGACCGGAAGAGGACAGCGGAACUGCGAGUGUAGAGGUGAAAUUCGUAGAUAUUCGCAAGAACACCAGUGGCGAAGGCGGCUGACUGGUCCGGUUCUGACGCUGAGGCGCGAAAGCGUGGGGAGCAAACAGGAUUAGAUACCCGAGUAGUC